AAGGCAGCAGGCACGCAAAUUACCCACUCCCGGCACGGGGAGGUAGUGACAAAAAAUAACGAUACGGGACUCAUCCGAGGCCCCGUAAUCGGAAUGAGUACACUUUAAAUCCUUUAACAAGGAUCCAAUGGAGGGCAAGUCUGGUGCCAGCAGCCGCGGUAAUUCCAGCUCUAUUAGCGUAUAUUAAAGUUGUUGCGGUUAAAAAGCUCGUAGUUGGUUCUGUGUCCCACGCUGCCGGUUCACCGCCUGUCGGUGCAACUGGCAUGUCGUGGGAUGUCCUGUCGGUGGCAACCCUGACCUACGGUGCGAGUAGGCUUGCCCGAUGCGCACCGCUUCUGUUAGGGGACGCCGAUUCAAUCCUGCCGCGGUGCUCUUAAGUGAGUGUCGAGGUAGGCCGACACGUUUACUUUGAACAAAUUAGAGUGCUCAAAGCAGGCUAAUAAUGCCUGGAUAUUGGUUCAUGGAAUAAUGGAAUAGGACCUCGGUUCUAUUUUGUUGGUUUUCGGAAUCCGAGGUAAUGAUCAAUAUGGACAGGCGGGGGCAUUCGUAUUGCGACGUUAGAGGUGAAAUUCUUGGAUCGUCGCAAGACGGACUAGAGCGAAAGCAUUUGCCAAGUAUGUCUUAGUUGAUCAAGAACGAAAGUUAGAGGUUCGAAGGCGAUCAGAUACCGCCCUAGUUCUAACCAUAAACGAUGCCAGCCAGCGAUCCGCCGAUGUUCCUCCGAUGACUCGG
RNAcentral lists this ribosomal RNA (732 nucleotides) under Cryphocricos sandyae. Its description in RNAcentral is "SSU rRNA". It matches the Rfam family "Eukaryotic small subunit ribosomal RNA", at positions 422 to 1079 of the family's 1831-position model. The record is from RNAcentral. Lineage: Eukaryota; Metazoa; Arthropoda; Insecta; Hemiptera; Naucoridae.